This 128-nucleotide small nucleolar RNA is filed under the name Jaculus jaculus (lesser Egyptian jerboa). RNAcentral describes it as "Small nucleolar RNA SNORA33 (ENSJJAG00000009062.1)". Lineage: Eukaryota; Metazoa; Chordata; Mammalia; Rodentia; Dipodidae. The record is from RNAcentral.
GAGCCAUGCAGUUAAUCUUAUCUGAAUGUGUUCUGCAGAAAUUUAGAAACAGAUUACAGUAACAGUGAUGCCAUUUUAUGAGUCUUAAGAACAACUGAGGUCAUUAUUGCCCCUCAAUGGCUAUAAUA